RNAcentral lists this unclassified non-coding RNA (564 nucleotides) under Hevea brasiliensis (rubber tree). The record is from RNAcentral. Lineage: Eukaryota; Viridiplantae; Streptophyta; Magnoliopsida; Malpighiales; Euphorbiaceae.
GAAAAAGCUGAUGCUUCAUCCAACAACGGACAGUCUAAAGAUAUGAAUGUGCGAAACGUAGAUGCAGUUAGUCCCCUCAAGCAGUCAUCUCGUCAGAAAAGCUCCUCCAACAAUGAGGAUGGAAUGAAACUGGCUCAUGAAAAGGAACUUUUUGCAUCUAGAGACACAAUGAAACCCAAAGGAAAUCAAUGUCAUCAUGCCCAAAGUACUGAGGUAAUAAAGGAAGGUUCUGUUCCUGAUUCAUUUAUAGCAUCUAAGGGUAAGAAAACCUCUUCUAGCAACAUGCACCUAUCUAAAAGUGAACCAGAGGACAUGAAAAAGAACCUAGCCAGGGAUAAAUACAAAGAAUUCUUCGGUGACGUAGAACACGAACUAGAAGAUGCUGAAACUGGUUUGGAGCAAAUUCAUUCAAAGGAGAUGCUCAAGGGUUCUGAUGUAAUCAGUAAGAAGAGACUUGAACGUGAUAGCUCAAUGAAGGAAAAAGUUAAUGGUAGGAAAACUGAGAAGCCGUUUGCUUCCGAUGAGUAUCCUGGGUUGGCUUCAGAUGGGGCUCCUCAUACUGUC